CCGUACUAUUCAUCAUCUGUUCACACUAAUCAGCUCUCCAUAAGUUCAGUAUAAAGCAUAGCAAAUCUACUCCUUCCAUCAAGAAAUCACCAAGCAUAACCUUCUCAUACCCAUUCCACACUUAAACGUCUUCAUCAUUCUCUGCCAAAGUAAUUUUCAAGUAUCAAUUUAAUUCAAUAUUCAGCAAUCCAAUCAAGCAUCAUUCAAGGUAUUUCAUGCUAUCUCAGUUCACUCUCUUCAUAUACAUAUAUCAUAUCUCAGUAGAGCAUGCUUCAUAUAUUAGAAAUGCAGUAGAUAAUAAGCAUGAUUAAUUAGUUACAUGGCACUCUGUAUUCACAAGCGAAUAGAGAAAAGAACACCAGAACUCAGAAAACAAAUACAGACAUAGCAUACGCAUACACAUAAAGUAUUAAGUUCUGUUUUUCUUACGCAAAAAGGGUCCAUAGACAUUUAUACCAUAUCGAUGAUUAAGAAUCAAGGCAUAUAUAACUUAGCUUUUAGAAAGACAUCGAACGCGGCCCUGCGCAGUCGAGCCGCAACAACGGCAACUUCCUACGGCCUCAUCGGAGCCCGAGAACGACAGCAGCGGCUGCCGAGGCUCCAGCUGGCGACGGUGGCGGCAACUCCAGACGGCGGCGGACUCCUCGGCGACGGCUGGCAGAAUUACGCCGGCGUCAGAGGGACGCGAGGAUGAUGGUGCUGUUCGCCGGUCUCGCUGCGACGACGGCAGAUUUGUGACAGCAGAAGGCCGCGACUCCAUGAACAGCAGCAGUCGGCGCGACUCCAUGAACAGCAGCUCCACGCGGCGACCUCGCCGUGAGUCCCGGAGCAGCAGGAAGCGGCGCUCCUCACCGUUGAAGAAGAAGAAGGGGGGAUGGUGGCGGUGAGUUGAGAGAGCGAGAGAGGGAGAUGUUGAGCGGCUCUGUGUGAGGAAUUUUGGAGAGAUAGCAGCGUUUUAAUUGAUUAAAAGAGAGAGUGUUCCUUACUUUGAUAAAAAAAUAGAGAGAGAGAUUAAAAAAAGUGUGUGUGCGUGUGUUUUGUUAAAAAGUGUGUGUGCAUGUGUCUUGUUUUGAGAAGAGAGAGAGAGAUUUAAAAAAAAAAAGUGUGUGUGCGUGUGUUUUGUUGUGAGAAGAGAGAGAGAUUAAAAAGUGUGUGUGCAUGUGUUUUGCUUUAUAAAAAAAAGAGAGAGGGAACCGAUGAUAGUGAGGAUAAAAGAGAGAGAGAGAACCGAUAAAAAGAGAGAAAGAGAUGUCGGUAGAGAGAGAGAUAAAGAGGCGUGAAUUUGGGGAAGAAAAGGGGAGGAUUUUGAGCCGGUUUGGGCCGAAUUUUUGGGCUCUCUCAAUUGGGCCUAGUUCAUUUAAUUUGUUGGGCUUUAGAAUUUAAUUGAUGUUGGGCCUAAUGAUAUUUAUGCAUUGGGCUUUGAAUUUAUUCAUUUGGUCUCGAAUUAAAUUCCUAUUGGGCCUUGAUUAUUUUAUUGGGCCUUCAUAAUUAUUCUAUUAAGUUUAAUUAGAGAAAAUUUUAAGACUUACUAAUUAUUAAUUAGUAAGUGAAUUAGAUUAUUUUAAGAUGAGUAGAUUAUUAAAGAUUAAUAAAUCCGACCUCAUAAGACGAGCUUUAAUUCCCUAAAUAAGAUUAGCAUCUCAUAAUUUAAUUAAAGGAAUAUGAGUCAUGCAUAAUCAUUUCACGCAUCCUCAUUUAUUGAGAUUUUUCGAGAAUUAGAAUCUUAUUUUAUUUUCUCGGAUUAAAGGUCAAGCACCAGAGUUAGAGCUAAACCGUGAGUCUGCUAUUCAGGUGGGCAAUUUCUUACGCGUAAAAUAAAAAUGCUAUUGAAGAACUAUGCAACUUUCAUGCUUUAAAAUGCAAAAAUUUGAUUUUUAAAUGAGUUAUGCUUUAUUAUGCUUAAAUGAGUUAAAACUUUAUUUCUCUUUAUUAUCUACGCUUGUCACGCUUUAAUAAUUUACGCUAUGCUAUUUACGCUUAAUUACGACUUAAAUUUUUAUAAUUUAUUAUUUAUGCUUUGUUACGCUUUUAAGUGAUUUACGCUUAAGGGAGUUACGCUUUGUUAUGCGCCUAUGUGGUUCACGCUUUGUUACGCUUUAAUGCUUUACGCUUAUUAUUUAAACGCCUAUGUGAGUUACGCUUUAAUGCUUUAUGCUUAUUAUCAAAUGCUUAUGUGAUGAUGUUAACGAAUUUGAUUUCUGAGCGAAUAGCUAUCUUGCCAAGGAUAUAUAUAUAUAUAUAUAUGCAACGCGACCGUGAGUCAAUGAGAGGGUUGGCCGGUCAAACGUCCGUUGAGGGAGGCCUCCCUCAACGGUACGAUGCUAGCGUCUGUUGGGGGAGGCCUCCCUCAAUAGUACGAUGCCGUGUCCGCUGAGGGAGGCCUCCCUCACGGCGCGAUGCCUGUGCUCGUUGAGGAAGGCCUUCCUCACGACACGAUGCUUCUUAAUAGGACUUUUGAUGAUGAGGAAUGCACUUACGCUAUUUAUGAAUUUGAAAAUGAUAGUAUGCAAAGAACUGGAAAGAAGAUUCAUGUCGCUUAUAUGAUGAUGUGGUUUGAUGAUAAAAUGUUAAGCUUAUAAUUUAGUUUUUGGCAACUGCCCACUAAGUACUUUUGUACUUAGCCCUGCAUAUGUUUAUGAAUGUGCAGGUUGAGCUGUGAUGAACGAUGAAGUGUUGCUGAGUGGAGCUUUUGUCGAACUUAGAAUAGGCUCAGAAAGGAUAUGUGUCUGCAUACAUGUAUCUCAGUCUUGCCUUCCGCUGCAAACACUGAUUAUGUUUUAGUCAAGUCUAUAAUUAUGUCAAUUACUCUUCAAGAAAUAUUUAACGCUUACUCGGGUUCAUCGAGUAUCCUUUUUAACUAUAUGCGUCAAUCUUUCAAUGUCUUAAAUUUUAUUUCAAGAAUUAAUGCUAGAUAUAAAUGUCUAUAAUCGAGUUGUAAAUGAGUCAAAUGUGCCCUCUCUAACCCCGCUUCUUAAAUCCCUUCCCUAGUCACGAUUUCCCGGAUUAGUUAUCCUUAGCAAGUGCGGUCGUGAC
RNAcentral lists this long non-coding RNA (3033 nucleotides) under Salvia miltiorrhiza (redroot sage). Its description in RNAcentral is "long non-coding RNA (SMIL_LNC000567)". Lineage: Eukaryota; Viridiplantae; Streptophyta; Magnoliopsida; Lamiales; Lamiaceae. The record is from RNAcentral.